This 1306-nucleotide ribosomal RNA is filed under the name uncultured bacterium. RNAcentral describes it as "bacterial SSU rRNA". It matches the Rfam family "Bacterial small subunit ribosomal RNA", at positions 28 to 1381 of the family's 1533-position model. The record is from RNAcentral.
AACGUACGCUGGCGGCACGCCUAACACAUGCAAGUCGAACGAAGUAGCAAUACUUAGUGGCAGACGGGUGAGUAACAUGUAGGUAUCUGCCCUUUGGCCUGGAAUAACACGAGGAAACUUGUGCUAAUACCGGAUAAGUCUUUACGGAGAAAGCUUUAUGCACCAUUGGAUGAGCCUGCACUUGAUUAGUUUGUUGGUGGGGUAAUGGCCUACCAAGACUGUGAUCAAUAGCUGAUUUGAGAGGAUGAUCAGCCACAUUGGGACUGAGACACGGCCCAAACUCCUACGGGAGGCAGCAGUGGGGAAUCUUGCACAAUGGAGGAAACUCUGAUGCAGCGAUGCCGCGUGAGUGAAGAAGGCCCUUGGGUUGUAAAGCUCUUUCGUCGGGGAAGAAAAUGACUGUACCCGAAUAAGAAGGUCCGGCUAACUUCGUGCCAGCAGCCGCGGUAAUACGAAGGGACCUAGCGUAGUUCGGAAUUACUGGGCUUAAAGAGUUCGCAGGUGGUUGAAAAAGUUAGUGGUGAAAUCCCAGAGCUUAACUCUGGAACUGCCAUUAAAACUUUUCAGCUAGAGUAUGAUAGAGGAAAGCAGAAUUUCUAGUGUAGAGGUGAAAUUCGUAGAUAUUAGAAAGAAUACCAAUUGCGAAGGCAGCUUUCUGGAUCAUUACUGACACUGAGGAACGAAAGCAUGGGUAGCGAAGAGGAUUAGAUACCCUCGUAGUCCAUGCCGUAAACGAUGUGUGUUAGACGUUGGAAAUUUAUUUUCAGUGUCGCAGGGAAACCGAUAAACACACCGCCUGGGGAGUACGACCGCAAGGUUAAAACUCAAAUGAAUUGACGGGGACCCGCACAAGUAGUGGAGCAUGUGGUUUAAUUCGAAGAUACGCGCAGAACCUUACCAACACUUGACAUGUUCGUCGCGACUCUAAGAGAUUAGAGUUUUCGGUUCGGCCGGACGAAACACAGGUGCUGCAUGGCUGUCGUCAGCUCGUGUCGUGAGAUGUUGGGUUAAGUCCCGCAACGAGCGCAACCCUCACUUUUAGUUGCCAUCAUUAAGUUGGGCACUCUGAAAGAACUGCCAGUGAUAAGCUGGAGGAAGGUGGGGAUGACGUCAAGUCCUCAUGGCCCUUACGUGUUGGGCUACACACGUGCUACAAUGGUAUCUACAACAGGAAGCAAGACUGCGAAGUUAAGCAAAUCCCUAAAAGAUACCUCAGUUCGGAUUGCACUCUGCAACUCGAGUGCAUGAAGCUGGAAUUACUAGUAAUCGUGGAUCAGCGUGCCACGGUGAAUGCGUUCCCGGGUCU